GCCAGAUAGCUCACUCGGUAAAGCAUUGCGCUGCGAAGCAGAAGUGAUUAUCGCGUUGCGGGUUCGAGCCCUGCUUCGCA
Molecule: non-coding RNA, 80 nt
Organism: Gymnothorax javanicus (giant moray)
Lineage: Eukaryota; Metazoa; Chordata; Actinopteri; Anguilliformes; Muraenidae
Source: the annotation of a GenBank genome assembly